This 28-nucleotide non-coding RNA is filed under the name Homo sapiens (human). Lineage: Eukaryota; Metazoa; Chordata; Mammalia; Primates; Hominidae. The record is from RNAcentral.
UGGGCAUCCUAAUAAGGAAAGGAGAGGA